UGCAGUCGAACGGUAAGGCCCCUUCGGGGGUACACGAGUGGCGAACGGGUGAGUAACACGUGGGUGAUCUGCCCUGCACUCUGGGAUAAGCCUGGGAAACUGGGUCUAAUACCGGAUAUGAGCUCCUGUCGCAUGGCGGGGGUUGGAAAGGUUUACUGGUGCAGGAUGGGCCCGCGGCCUAUCAGCUUGUUGGUGGGGUAAUGGCCUACCAAGGCGACGACGGGUAGCCGGCCUGAGAGGGCGACCGGCCACACUGGGACUGAGACACGGCCCAGACUCCUACGGGAGGCAGCAGUGGGGAAUAUUGCACAAUGGGCGAAAGCCUGAUGCAGCGACGCCGCGUGAGGGAUGACGGCCUUCGGGUUGUAAACCUCUUUCAGCAGGGACGAAGCGAGAGUGACGGUACCUGCAGAAGAAGCACCGGCCAACUACGUGCCAG
Molecule: ribosomal RNA, 439 nt
Filed under: Rhodococcus sp. SA_18
Lineage: Bacteria; Bacillati; Actinomycetota; Actinomycetes; Mycobacteriales; Nocardiaceae
Description: bacterial SSU rRNA
Rfam family: Bacterial small subunit ribosomal RNA
Source: RNAcentral